RNAcentral lists this ribosomal RNA (1702 nucleotides) under Gregarina blattarum. RNAcentral describes it as "SSU rRNA". It matches the Rfam family "Eukaryotic small subunit ribosomal RNA". Lineage: Eukaryota; Apicomplexa; Conoidasida; Eugregarinorida; Gregarinidae. The record is from RNAcentral.
CAUGCAAGUCUAAGUAUAAGCUACUUAUACGGCGAAACUGCGAAUAGCUCAUUACAACAGUUAUAAUUUACACGAAGAUCAUUACCUAAAUGGAUAUCCAUGGUAAUUCUGGAGCUAAUACAUGCAUUCAACACCCGACUUCAAGGAAAGGUGGCAUUCAUUAGUUGACAGAACCAUCCGGGUUGCAAGACUCGAACUUGGUGAUCAUAAUGACGGAGCGGAUCGCAUUUUUUGCGACAGUUCGUUCAAGUUUCUGACCUAUCAGCUCCCGUCGGUAAGGUAUUGGCUUACCGAGGCUGUGACGGGUAACGGGGAAUUGGGGUUCGAUUCCGGAGAGGGAGCCUGAGAAACGGCUACCACAUCUAAGGAUGGCAGCAGGCGCGCAAAUUACCCAAUCCCGAUACGGGGAGGUAGUGACCAGAAAUAGCAACUUGGGGCAUUUGCUUCAUGAUUGCAAUGGGCGGAAAGCAAAACUGUUUGCGAGUACCUAUUGGAGGGGCAAAGUCUGGUGCCAGCAGCCGCGGUAAUUCCAGCUCCCAAUAGCGUAUAUUAAAAUUGCUGCAGUUAAAGCGUCCGUAGUUGGAUUUCGUUCGCACGGGUAGGAUGCCGAUUGAGUCUUUGGGCUCAUCGUGCGCUUUCCCUAGUGAACUUGAGCGAAGCAUUCAGAUCUCUGGAUGUUCUGCUCCGUUACUUUGAGCAAAUUGGAGUGCUCCAACCAGGCUUACGCUUGAACAGCUCAGCAUGGAAUAACAAGAUAGGACUUUGGUUCUUCUUGUUGGUGAUAUGAACCAAUAGUAAUGGUUGAUAAGGACAUACGGGGGCAUUUGUACUUGCUGGAGAGAGGUGAAAUUCUAAGACCCAGCAAAGACAAACAACUGCGAAAGCAUUUGCCCAGUGUGUACCUGUUAAUCAAGGACGAAAGUUGGGGGAUCGAAGACGAUUAGAUACCGUCGUAGUCCCAACUAUAAACUAUGCCGACUGAGGAUCGGAGGCCGUAACAAUACGACUCCUUCGGCACUCCAAGAGAAAUCUAAGUCUCUGGGCCCUGGGGGGAGUAUGGUCGCAAGGCUGAAACUUAAAGGAAUUGACGGAAGGGCACCACCAGGAGUGGAGCCUGCGGCUUAAUUUGAGUCAACGCGGGGAACCUCACCAGGCCCGGACAUAGUCAUGAUUGACAGAUUGAGAGUUCUUUCUCGAUUCUAUGGGUGGUGGUGCAUGGCCGUUCUUAGUCGGUGAGGUGACUUGUCUGGUUAAUUCCGAUAACGGACGAGACCUCGACCUGCUAACUAGCAAGCGUUUACAUACCGUAAGCGUUUGGCUUCUUAGAGGGACUUUGUGAGUCUAUCACAAGGAAGUUCGAGCCUAUAACAGGUCUGUGAUGCCCUUAGAUGGCCUGGGCUGCACGUGCGCUACAAUGACAGAGCCAGCGAGUAUUACCCUUCUCCGUUCGGAGUGGGCAAUCUUUUGAAACUCUGUCGUGAUAGGGAUUGACCCUUGCAAUUGUGGGUCAUGAACGAGGAAUUCCUAGUAAGGACAAGUCAUCACCUUGUGCUGAUUACGUCCCUGCCCUUUGUACACACCGCCCGUCGCUUCAACCGAUUGGAUGAUCCGGCAAACUGUACGGACAUUUGGAAUCACCUGGAGUUCCUCUAGGCUUUCGAGUGGAAGUACCGUGAGCCUUAUCAUCUAGAGGAGAAGAAGU